RNAcentral lists this ribosomal RNA (520 nucleotides) under uncultured bacterium. RNAcentral describes it as "bacterial SSU rRNA". It matches the Rfam family "Bacterial small subunit ribosomal RNA", at positions 29 to 526 of the family's 1533-position model. The record is from RNAcentral.
AGCGAACGUUAGCGGCGCGCCUAACACAUGCAAGUCGCACGAGAAAGGGCUUCGGCCCCGGUAAAGUGGCGCACGGGUGCGUAACACGUAGGCAAUCUUCCCUCGGGCGGGGGAUAACGUUUCGAAAGAGACGCUAAUACCGCAUAAGACCACGAGCAGUUCGCUGCUUGCGGUCAAAGCUGGCCUCUUCUUGAAAGCUAGCACCUGAGGACGAGCCUGCGGCCCAUCAGCUAGUUGGUAGGGUAAUGGCCUACCAAGGCGAAGACGGGUAGCUGGUCUGAGAGGAUGAUCAGCCACACUGGAACUGAAACACGGUCCAGACUCCUACGGGAGGCAGCAGUGGGGAAUAUUGGACAAUGGGCGAAAGCCUGAUCCAGCGACGCCGCGUGAGUGAUGAAGGCCUUCGGGUUGUAAAGCUCUGUUGAGGGAGAAGAAAACAGUUAGGGCGAAUAGGCCUAGCUCUUGACGGUAUCCCUUUAGAAAGCACCGGCUAACUCUGUGCCAGCCGCCGCCGUAAAAC